UACGUAGGGUGCGAGCGUUAAUCGGAAUUACUGGGCGUAAAGCGUGCGCAGGCGGUUUUGUAAGCCAGAUGUGAAAUCCCCGGGCUCAGCCUGGGAAUGGCAUUUGGGACUGCAAGGCUUGAGUGCGGCAGAGGAGACUGGAAUUCCUGGUGUAGCAGUGAAAUGCGUAGAUAUCUGGAGGAACACCGGUGGCGAAGGCGGCAUCCUGGACCGACACUGACACUGAGGAGCGAAAGCCAGGGGAGCAAACGGG
Molecule: ribosomal RNA, 253 nt
Filed under: uncultured bacterium
Lineage: Bacteria
Description: partial 16S ribosomal RNA
Rfam family: Bacterial small subunit ribosomal RNA
Source: RNAcentral